This 296-nucleotide ribosomal RNA is filed under the name uncultured bacterium. RNAcentral's name for it is "partial 16S ribosomal RNA". It matches the Rfam family "Bacterial small subunit ribosomal RNA", at positions 499 to 793 of the family's 1533-position model. The record is from RNAcentral.
AACUACGUGCCAGCAGCCGCGGUAAUACGUAGGGGGCAAGCGUUAUCCGGAAUCACUGGGCGUAAAGGGUGCGUAGGCGGCUUUAGCAAGCCAGGGGGUGAAAGGCAUUGGCUCAACCAAUGUAAGCCUUUGGAACUGUUAGGCUUGAGUGCAGGAGAGGUAAGUGGAAUUCCUAGUGUAGAGGUGAAAUUCGUAGAUAUUAGGAGGAACACCAGUGGCGAAGGCGACUUACUGGACUGUAACUGACGCUGAUGCACGAAAGCGUGGGUAGCGAACAGGAUUAGAUACCCUGGUAA